GCCCCCAUAGCUCAGUGGUUAGAACACUGGUCUAGUUAAAUCAGGGGUCGAGAGUUCAAUUCUCUUUGGCGUCA
RNAcentral lists this transfer RNA (74 nucleotides) under Trichobilharzia regenti. It matches the Rfam family "tRNA". Rfam says of the family: Transfer RNA (tRNA) molecules are approximately 80 nucleotides in length. Their secondary structure includes four short double-helical elements and three loops (D, anti-codon, and T loops). Lineage: Eukaryota; Metazoa; Platyhelminthes; Trematoda; Strigeidida; Schistosomatidae. The record is from Rfam by way of RNAcentral.